This 19673-nucleotide long non-coding RNA is filed under the name Setaria viridis. RNAcentral describes it as "long non-coding RNA (SVIR_LNC004927)". Lineage: Eukaryota; Viridiplantae; Streptophyta; Magnoliopsida; Poales; Poaceae. The record is from RNAcentral.
GACCCCUACCUCAGCGUCGAGAUCCCGCGCUUCCAGCACGCCGACAGCGUCGUCCCCAACGGCGUCGGCGCCGGCGCCGGGGGUGCCAUCGAGCUGGACUUCACGUGCGGCAUCGGCGUCAAGCCCUCCUCCUACAGCUCCUACACGGCAACGUCCCUCGCGCACAGCGUAAGCAGCUUCGUCUUCCCUUGCUUUUGCCUUCGGACACAUAAACACGUCCUGGAAACGCGUGCUGAUGAAUCUUGCCGGUACCUUGAUGCUCUUGCAGGGCUCAUCGUCGGAGGUCGGCGUGGUGCCAGAGGCCUUCUGCGGCGGUGGCGGCGGGAGCUUCGAGCUCGACUUCACCCGGCCCAAGCCCCAAGCCUACAUGCCGUACACCGCGACUCCUCAGAGUCACAGCGUAAGACCCCAACCAAGCUCCGACCUUCCGGACGCACACGUGUAGACACGCCAUGUAGUACACGUACUGAUCAUGUAGAUGCGAACUCGGUUCUCUAUGCAGGUGUCGUCGGUUGACGUGGAGGUGGUGCCGGAGCGGGGGGACAUGGCGGCGGCGAGGCCGGUGCCGCUGAUGGGGGAGAGCCGGGAGGCGCGGCUGAUGCGGUACAGGGAGAAGCGGAAGAACCGGCGGUUCGAGAAGACCAUCCGGUACGCGUCCCGCAAGGCCUACGCCGAGACGCGGCCGCGGAUCAAGGGCCGCUUCGCCAAGCGCGCCGACCACGACGCCGACGCCGACGACGCUGAGGCCGAGGCCGCCGUGCCGUCGUCGUCGUACGUGCUCGACUUCGGCUACGGCGUCGUGCCAAGCUUCUGAUGAUGGCGAUGGUCUCGGUCCACGGAUGGCCGGCCGGCGGCGCCGCGCUUGACCCGGCUCUCGAUGGCGCGCCAGCCUUGUACUUGUAUCGAUGUAUAGGGGAGGAAUAGUAAUCCCAUGUACUCUCUUUCUGCAUUGAGCUAGCCUUAAGUACGCUAGUGAUGUAUAAUUUGUAUACUACUGCUGCUGCUUACUAGUACUAUAUAGCAUGUUUUUGCUAGAAUUUGCCCUCGGUAUUUUUGAAUCAUAUAUCUCUGCAAGAAAUUUGCAGUAAUAUACAGAUGCUACUGAGGAGGAACGGCAAUCCAUUAUUAUGUUAAGUUAAUGGUGUUUAUCAUCAAGUUCGUAGCAAUGCAUCAUCUUAAGUUAAUGGUGUUUAUCGUCAAUUACCCUACAGAUCUGCAGACUAGAACGUAGAUGAAUUGGAUAAAAUGUUUUUGAUAAUUGUUCUAAUUGGAUAAUAUUCAUCAAUCAUCAUCUUAGCACAUUGGAUGCCUCGGCUGGUCAUUGUUACGUUGGGCGGUUGGGGAGUAGUGACUGUCUUUGUUGAACGUAACUCACAUUUGAUCCAGUACAUUAUGCUGGGAGGCACGUGUAGUGUAGGGAUGAAAAAUUUGAAACUUUUUGGGUCAUUGAGUCGGCCCAAACCUGAUGAAAAUAAAAUGGUCCGGAUCUCAAAGCAAGAAUAUGGAACGAAAAUGUUUCUAGGUCACAUAUUCUUCAUCCAUACAUGCUGAUUCAUUCGUUCAUUCAUCAUUUUCUUUCUUGCUCAUGUUCAUUAUACUUUAAUAAUUGACCCAUAUUGUACAGCAAUGCUACCUCGAUGUACGUACCCUAUUAAUCAAAUAUCGAUCCACCGGCAGCGCGACCUUCCUCUUAAGUUUUGAGGGUACAAAUAAGUGGAUAGUAAUUAAGAAUCUCCGAUUCUCCAUUGGAGAUCGAAGAAAAUGGUUAGGAAAUCCGUACCCCUCGGUCCCAAAUUACCAGUUGUUUUGUCUUUUCUAUGUUUAUUUCUUUUGCUAUGCAUAUAGAUACAACAUAUAUUUAGGUGCAUAGCAAAAUCUAUGAAUAAAGAAAAGCUAAAAUGACUAAUAAUUUGGGACGGAUGGAGUAUAUAGUUCGGUAGUUAUGGGCAUUAAAAUAUGUGAAUGCUUAUUAGCAACUCUAAACAAACUUCCAAUGUUUUUUCCGCUAAUUUGCUUUUGACGAUUAUAUCUGGCCCAAUUCCAUGAAUAUAUACAACACACUAGCCUCUACUCUACUCCCUCCGUCCCAAAUUACUAUUCGUUUUGACUUUUCUAAAUACCUAACCUUUGCUAUGUAUGUAGACAUAUCGUAUAUCUAGGUGCAUAGCAAAAGCUAUGAAAAAAAGGUAAACGAAUAGUAAUAUGAGACGGAGGAAGUGCUACUGUACGAUUUUAUUGACAAAGACUUGUCAUUAUCUAAAAAACCCCCGACAUGAUAGUAUCAAAAUGGCCCAUCUCGAAAUGGGCCUAGGGGUCACGACUCUAACCCAAAACUGAGGCAAGACAAAAGAAUAGCUACAAUUCCACGUCCAUGUACGUGUACGUCCAACAGGAAAGUCAGAACCAGUUUAAUGGUUUUGCAUUUUGCCAUUUGUCACUCUGCAUCAGCAUCACUACCAAAGAGGCAAAGACUAGGAACAAAACUUGCGAACAAUUCGAGGCAAUCACAAACCUCAAAGUCAAAAUACGACAGCAUUAUGCUUUCCUUGAUUUUUGGAGGAAGAUUUGGAAGAUGUACGCUAACUAGGCAGACUUAUCUAAAUGAUAGCGGUAUGCCGUAACCUUCAUCUAAAAACCGAUGUUCUUGCCUAAGGUCAAGUUUGAGAAACGAGAGCAUCCACAGUAAUGCUCAUUCGUUUAUUGUUUGUCUGUCAUGUUACCCGGCCGGCUACACCUACAAGCUAGGGUACUGCAAAUGACACCACUUGGUUGUUCAACGAUAAACGUUGCCACAUGCCGUCGUCAUUUGUACGAUUAACUCAAUUGAAUUUUAGCUUACAAGAACUUCAACAAUUAAGUCGUUACACAAAUCACAAAAUAAUGCAUGAUUCAACAGGUGACCAAUUCUGAAACUAAUCACAAAAUUAGAAUGUUCAUAGAUAGAGUACAUAAUCAGAUCUUGAUGGCAUUAGCAUUUCCUGAGAACCUCUUAGCGUACGGGUCGUGCAUGGUCUGCACCGCGGGCAUGGCGCCAAACGCCCCGAAGUUCAUGCUGCUCUUGUCGUCGAUCAACGAGUACUCCUCCACCUCCUCCUCGUCAUCGAUGUCAUCUUCCUCCUCGUCGCCGUCCUCAGGCUCGCCGUAGUACGAGCUGCUCUUAUCCAUCUCCAUCAGGUGGUCCGUGUACUUGACGCUCUGGAUCCUCACCGGCGGCCGGUCGCCGCCUUUGCCGCCGGGCACAUCGGUAUCCUCCCCGCGCAGGAUGCGGACGACGGUGCGCAUGUCCGGGCGUCGGUCGGGCUCUCCCUGCACGCAGAGCGCGGCGCACUCGACGACGCGAGCGAGCUGGUCGGCGUCGAACGCGCCCCGGAGGCGCGGGUCGACGAGGUCCCCGAGUCGGCCGCGCGCGAUGAGCGGCUCGGCCCACUCGGUGAUGGUGCGCUUGGCCCCCGACGGCAGCCGCUCGAUGGGCUUCCGGCCGGAGACGAGCUCGAGGAGGAGGAUGCCGAAGCUGUAGACGUCGCAGGCGCCGGAGACCUUCCCCCACAUGGCGUACUCGGGCGCCAGGUAGCCCAGCGUGCCCUUGACGCGGGUGGUCAUGUGCGAGACCCCCUCGGGGACGAGCUUUGCGAAGCCGAAGUCGGCGACGAGCGGCGCGAAGUCGGAGUCGAGGAGGACGUUGCUGGCCUUGAUGUCGCGGUGGAUGAUGUGGGGCGCCGCCUCGUGGUGGAGGUAGACGAGGCCCUCGGCGGAGCCGACGGCGACGGCGACGCGGCGGGGCCAGUCGAGGCGGGUCUCCGCGGCGAACUGGCCGUGGAGGUGGGAGAGGAGGCUGAGGUUGGGCAUGUAGUCGUAGACGAUCAUGCGGUGGUCGGUGCCGGGGCCGCCGGCGCAGUAGCCGCGGAGGCCGAGGAGGUUCCGGUGGCGCACGCGGGCCAGCACCUCUACCUCCACCGCGAACUCCAUCUCCGCCUUGGAGUUGUUGGUGGCCUUGAGCCUCUUCACCGCGAUCUGCAGGCCGUCAGGCGUCUUGCCCCAGUAGACGCUGCCGAAGCCGCCCUCGCCCAGCUUGUUCUCCUCGCUGAACCCGUUGGUCGCCGCGUGCAGCUCCUUGUAGCUGAAGAUCCUCCACGUGCUGCUCAUGGACGACGCGCUCACGCACCUGACGAUUACAUUGAAAACCGCAGCAGAAAUCAAAUCGAUCGAUCAAAUGGUCUCAUGAGCCUCGAGUACGCAGCAAGCAUCGAGCAUCUUUGUCAAUGAAGUAAAAUUGUCGUACAGGAACGUAAACGCACGUACCCUACUUGCUCGACCUUCUCGGAACCGCAGCAGGAGCUCAACGACGAGCCCAUGGCGGCGACGGAGGCAGUCCGGCCGGCGUGGACGACGUCGGGGACGAUGCCUUUGCUCGUUUCCUUUCCGACGAUGGGGCACGCACAGCUCGACCGGCCGGUGCGUGCGUCUCCCUCGUUCUUGCUUUGUCGCGCACGCUGAUCUAGCUGCUUGGCAACGGCUACUUGUGGGGUUUGGGUUUGUGCCUAGGAGUGAACGAAGAGUGGUGCAGAGACAGGGGGCGAGUGAGAGGAGUACUUAUGCUGUUGGCAGGUCUCUCGAAACCGUCCACGGCCGGCGGACAUCUUGAUGCACCAUUUGUUGAAUCGUGCCAGCACUCUUGGGAUUUUUCUAAUUGGAAGAAAAAACCGUGCCAGUACUAGCUCUGGGUUGACCUGGUUUUGGCGAGUGAGGUAGAACAACUGCCACGUGGAGCAAGGGCACUGGGCGGGGCGCAGUCAAACCGGCGCCGAUUGCAAGCAAGCUGCCGCCAACUUUGUGUCGCUUCCGUAGUUUCCGUGCUCCGCAGCUGGACAAAUAACAGGCCCGCAGGCCGCAACCAUGCUGCUGGGCCGCUGGCUGGCUGAUCUGGGCUGGUUAGGCUGGUGGGCCGCGAGAAUGGAAGCGGUCAUCAUCGAUGGGCUGCUGCAUGGCCUCGGGCCACCCACCAUACAUACGGCCGACGUGUGUGAAUGAAAAUGGGCCGGUGAGGGCCCAAGCUUGAGUCAUUUUGCGCCGCCCUGCAUUUGCAGCAGCAUCCAGAGACCAGAUUUCAAGAGAGUCCACCGAAAACAAAAAAACUUUUUUUUUUGAAAUGGAGUGAAAACAAAAAACUUCAGAACAAAAAUGGCUUCUGAUCGAAGCACAAACCCGGCAAGGGAUCAGGACCUGGUUAUGGGCACUGAAUCACACUGAUGGAAGGAAGACCGAUCCGUUCCAGAGAAUCAAAUCAAAUCCCUCCGGGACUUGGCUGGCACGCUCCGGCACGUCAGGGGCAUCUGAUCCAGCCGGCAGUCCAGUCCUACUCCUAAAUUCCUUGUGCUUCAGGUGCCCUCCCACUAGCAACAAUAUACAAGGGCACAGCACGGAGCACGCCUGGGCGCCUGGCACAGGUGGAAUCCGGGAAUCGGAAUCCGAGUCCCCACGGAAACAGGGACGGUGCGAAAGGGCCUUGGAUGAAAGCCUGAGAUACCAAUUCCUCCGCCGAGAGAAAAUGUUCUUCGUAUACUCUCCUACACAGCUGGGGCCGGAAUAAGCUGGGACCUGGGAUCGGCACGGGACACGACCGAAGCCGCCGCGCACGUAGACUCGGGAAUCAGCACUAUUUUUUGGGAUAAACUCGGGAAUCAGCACUCAGCAUCGACCAUGGGAGUGGAAAAUGUGACCGGAGACGGGAUCGGUCGUCGAGCGGACAUGGACAGGACAGGCGACCUCUCCGCGGCCGCAUGGACAUCCUCGCCGGCGGCUCUGCUGCUGCUACGUCGCCGGCUCGUCGUUCCUGCAAUCCAGGUGCGAAUCCGGCUGCAAAUGGGGAGGAUCCGAACGACCGAAUCGGAAAUCAUGCGUAGGCAUGGUGGUUCGAGUCUAUCCCCGUCAGUGCAUAAGUGCUUGUGAGAACACCAGCUACGGCCAUGGCGAAUGGAUGCAUCCAAAGAAUCCGUGCCAGUGGCAACAGCAUGCGAACGGAUUCUUCGUACGCGUGAGACCGACCGGUCCAGCACCAGCAGUUUUGUUAUUCAGAGGACCGCAUGAUCCGGCGCCGGUCGCAGGAGAUGGCGGAUAAGCACGAACUGACACUGACUCGGAGCUUGCCGCAACAGAAAUCUGCCAUAUCGAGCUGAGCUGACACAGUUGUAACUGCGCCCUGUCUGCCUGCAUCUGCAUGGGACAGGCCACGAUCGAUGACGUUCCAAUCUUGGAGGGGCUUUGAUGUCUCUAUCUGCAGGCCAGUGAAGGCGUCAGGCUGCUUAUUGAAGGAAGGUUGUGCGUGAACUGAUCGAGCGUGUGCGAGCUGGAUCGCUUGCGCUUAUGCAUAUGACAGCUAGCUUCAGGUAACUGCAUAUACAUCUCCAGCAUUGCCGGAUCGGAUAUGUGAACGGUUGGCUUAGAUCACACGAGCGGCCCUGAUCAGCUGAGCUCAUGAAGGAAAGCUCACUUAAUCACUUUUUUUUUUUGCUUCAGAAAUUGAUGGUCUCAUACGCAGAUACGCUUUGAGGCUACCGCGGAACUGCGGUCUAUUGAGCUAGCCAGCACGGAUGUUACACCAUCUAGGUGGCUGGGCCGGCAUGGCCAUCUGCAUCUCAACUCCCUGUCUCACUAUUUUUGUAUCUCUCAUCUACUUUCCCACCUCAGUGGCUCUGUUUUCGGAUGUUUCUUCAGCAAGACAGCAGAUUUACAACACAGAUGUGGUUAUUUGAGUUUCGUUGCCAAAAACCUCAAAGAAAAACAGUCCUUUUUUUAAGGAAGAAGUGGUAGCACAGCUAAUUCAUGUAAGAAGAAAGCAAAUCAAGUUUUACAAAAUAAUUAUAUAAGAUUACAUAUUAACUUUUCUCAAUUUGCAACAUAACGAAACUAGACUACUCGGCCGCUGUUGGUUGGCUCUUCUCUGAAAGAAUAAAUCAAACUAAUUUUCAUUUGUAUGUAUUUGUUUUGUCCUCCACUCCACCUUUUCAAAUUUCAAUAUCCUCUGGUCAAAGUAAUAACUCUCAACAUCCUUCGAGUCAAAUUGUACCUAGCAGUGCGAAAUGAGCUAUUAGAUGUUUUGUGGUGGAACCUAUCCACCCUAGUCCAAGUCUCUGGCUCAGUACGAGUGCUUGUAUUUACGACUAAUUAUUCCCUUAGCCUGGAAGGUGAUGUACUUAUCGACAACACUUGUGGUGACUGCAUCAAUGAAAUAUCCCUUGAUGUGUGUGUGGUGGUGAUGGGGUGGGGGGGGGGGGUGUGUUUGAAUAGGCAUUUCAGAAAAUUUAAACUAAAACAACGAAUUAAAUUCAGAAUCGGCUCAGCUGGUUUGAUCCGGUUAUAGGAACAAACAAAGGAUAAAACCAACAUAAAUCAACCAGUAGAAAUUGCAUUAAAAUAAAUUCCAGCAAGUAGAUUGCGUGAAGAACCCAAAAGUUAAACUAAAAACAAGAGUAUAAAUGAGAUGAACAACAAGAAUACAAGAGACACAAGAUUUAUUCCCCAAGUUCACUCUCAACAAGGAAGCUAUGUCUCCAUUGAUCGAGUAGCGUAUAAAGAGCCACAUCAUCACUAACUCUUUCCCCUUAGCGUCAAAUCCUUCACAAGGAUGGGGCAAUACAAACUUGUGGGGCUACCCACACAAGUUGGGUGCUCAUGGUGAUGCCUAAUUGUUUAGGAGUUUAAGACUCCAAGAGUAACAAACCCAAAUUAUAUUUGAUGGACUUCAAAACUCAAAAAGAUGUAAUGGAAGCUCACACUUGCCCAUUCAAAGGUGCCCUCACAAUCUCCACUUCAAAUCUAGUAAUGAAUACUCAGGAGUGGAUAAGAAGAGGAGUAAAAGCUAGUAGGCAUUUUGUCUUCUGUUAGUUUAAGUGAGCAAGAGAGGUACGAGAGAUAUGGUGAUUGGUGAAGGGGUAUAUACCCUGCCUCCAAAACAUUUCCACUACCUAUGCUUGACCAACAAAAACCGGCUAGCUAGAACCAUGCUCAAACACAAUCAAUGCAGUCAACUCUUAUGCAAACUGACUUGAGUCAGUCUAAAAUUUGCAAAUCUCACAGAGCUAGCCCUGAAACAGUCGAUUAAGCCAAGAGCAGUUGAGCCAGUGGAAACUGAUUGAGCCAAAAACAAAUUAACAAGCAACCUGGGCGCUUGAGCUACUCAGAUUCCGGAAGACCAGCUAAGGUAGAGCAGCUAGAAUAACAAGUUAGUAUUUUUAUUAUGAUGAUUGUGCGAGUAUAUUUAUGGGAUUGUUAGUGAUCACUUAAGCUUUGAAAUUUUUACAAGACACUCAAAUUGGAUCCCCUUGAUAGUACAAUAUCACAUGCUCAAAUUCAAAAAUAAAAUGCAAUUAACCCUUCAACCUAGAUCUGAAAGCAUCGCCAAUAUUUUUCUCUUUUUUAAAUAGGGGUAGUUGCCAUCAAUCUUUUAUACAGUUUUUUAUAUACAAUAUUCUCAUAUUCUUAAUAAACUCAUCACUACUUUAGUUUUUGUUUGUCAUUGAUACACAGAAAUUCACUUAAAAGAGAUGAAUGCACUUUUAGUCAAUCUCAAGAUAAAUCAUCCCAAUAUAUUAGAUGAUUUCAUAUGAGUAAGUAUGCUUGUAUAUAUAUAAGUUGUAAGCAUUUCAUUAGUAGUGUCUUUAUGUAAAAUAAGAAUGCAUGAGAAUGAUUUUCUUUCUGAUUGGCGUGCUACUCCUUUUGAUGAAAAGUAAUAUAUUGAUCAGUUUACACAAGGGUUAGCACUCUCGAAUGGAAAGAAAUGAAACUCAUGCAUUUAAUAUUUAACCUAAAUAAGAGAAAAAUAAGAAUAAACAAAGAAAAAUAUAUUAGGAUGGUGAGCUUUAUUAUAGCACCAAGAUCAGUUGUUUGGUUGAGUGAUCACUACAUUGGACUACAUUCACACUUUAAAUUUCUAAGUACACAUAAUACUACAACAUGGCAUUGCAUAUAAAGUGUUUAAAAGAUUUAUAUAUGUGAUAGCCUAUUUGUGCUUUUGAAAUUGCUCUAGAGAAACCAAGAUUAUAUAUGCUAUGAACCACUCGAACACAUAGGUUUGGCCCAUCCAUAUAAAUUUCUUCAUUCUUACAUGUUUCUUAUGCUAAUUUGAAGUAGUGAAAUUUCAUCUAUUAGGUUGUGAUAUAUGCUAAUAACAAUGGUGGUACCACUUCACCAGUGACAUCGUUGUUUUAUAUUUUUUAUGAAUUAUUUUAUAUAACAUGAUGAUUGUGUAGAAUUGAAUUGAAUAGUUUCAUUGUUUGAGCCUUAUGGGUGGGUUUAUAUAGAUUACAAGUUAGCUUAAAUAUCAAUCAAUUAUAGAGAUAUAUAAAUGUAUUAUAAUUACUAAUUGGAGAUUCUUUUGAAGCCUCCACACAAAUCCUCAUGGUGUCAACAAAUAACCAUUACAUAUAAUUCGCCCACCUGGACCACUAUGAAUAAUAAUAGCAUAAAACAACCCCCUCAAAUCAAUCCUUAACCUUAUAAUAACUAAUACUAUUAAUUUAAAUACUUACGUCUCUCGUUGGAUGUUUCCAGAUCCUUACCCUUUGACAUUUCCAAUCUUUGGAUGUUUUUGGGUGUUAGAUCCACGUCACCAUUAUUUGUCCUACGUGGAGCAGUAGAGGAGAGUUAAAGAGAGGGAAGAUUACCGGAUAUUAACUGGUAGUUAGUCUAUAUAACAUAAUCCAAGAGGCAUGCUGAAUUUAAUGGCCCUAUCACAUUUGCCCCAUAUUAAAUUGGGAGAGCAUAUGCUAUGGUUAGUUCAUUGGAGGGAUAUCUAAUGUGCCAUCUAUAUACGACACGAGCAACUCUUAUAGCCACUGAUUUUACUUAGAGAUGCUCCUAAUAUCACACUUUGCAGUUGAGGCGUGCAGGAACGGGCCCAGAAGGCCAGAAUAGAUCCCCUGCAGAUCAUCAUUUUCAUCUAGAGUGAAGGCACUGGUCAUGCAGUGGCUGCGAUCCCAUUUUCAGGCUCUUUGAGCUGUAACCUUUCCGAUUAACGUGGAAGUUGGAACUGCAUUCUGUUGGUCUCGUCAGCACGGAUGCCACUACCAGCAACAGCAAGGCCGGCAUGGCCAUCAGCAACUCUGCAACCUGUCUCACUGCAUCCUCUGUCUUUCUAUUCUCAAGUCUGAACCAGUGGCUUCUGGUUGAUAACUUCAGCAAGCGCAUACAAACAGAUGAGCUGAACUAUUUUAUGCCAAGGUUAAUGUACUUCACUUAAACAUUGCCUACGCUGUUGCCCUGUUGGCUGUACCUGAACAUCGAUCCAUCUGAAUUUCUGAAAUGAGUUCUUCUUCGGACAUUCGCAAAGUUUACAAAUGUUUGCAAAAACUCGUUUUUCAUUAAAAUUUUCACCCCAGGACCAACCAAUCACGUCAAGAGUCAAGAAUCUACACCUAUGCCUAAAUCUAACACACCAACAAGAGGGAAAUGGAGAAGGAAAUCAAAAGAGAAAUAAUUCGAUCGCCUGCUUUUUAUUGCAAAUUUUCUUGCAGCGUCGUCGCACUGCUGCUGCUGCUGCUGCUUUCACGGCUCCGGCUCACGGCGCCGGCGUCGUCGUCCGCUCCGACCCGCGGCUGCGAGCUGGUCUGCUCCGCGCAGCCGCUGUCGUCCUGCACCGGCGCCUUCUUCUCCUCUCCCGAGCCGGAGCCACCGCACGAGCCCGGCGCCGUUGGCACGGCUCCUAGCUCCACGACGGCUCGGCUGGCCGCCGGCAUGGCGAGGAAGGUCGGCAUCUCCUCGCCGGCCAUGAUGACCACCACGUGCUCCUGGAACCCCGCCGCCGGCCUGGCCGCGCCGGCCGCCGAUCCCUUCUCCCCGUCGGCGCCGGCCUCCCCGGCCCGCCGGUCGCGGUCGGCGUCGAGGUACCCGGACAGCUUCCAGUAGGAGCAGGCCAGGAUGAGCAGCGCGAAGGCGAUGAGCCCCAGCAUCGCCGCCAGCCCGCCGAAGAGGUACGGCACCGGCGACUGCCACGGGGAGUGCGGCGCCGUCCCGUUCGCCCCCGGCGCCGCCGUCGGCGCGCCGUGGCCCAUGGUGGGGAACUCUGCUCCUGGCCUCAUGGUUGCUCGAGUUCUUCUCUUGCAGUUCGUUAUGUGAGAGAGGACAGAGGAGAGAUCAGGGGAGUUCUUGUUCUUGCAGGUGGUGUGGGAUGGUGAGAGGGAGUGGGAGCUAUUUAUACACAGGCUGGAGAUCACAUAGGUGUGUGCAAAUGCUUGUGAAGUGUGAUGCCAAGGCCCAAGGGGGAUAACAAAAAAAGACCAAUGGGGAAAGGGUUUUAUGUUGCCAACUUUGGUUAGUUUAAUUAACCAGUUAGGUUACAUGUUGGUGCUUAAGCAGAUAAGAUGGAUAUGCUUCCAUGUCCGAGAUCAUUGUAACUUGUAGGAUAGUUAACUUGGGUGGAAUUAAGCAACCAUUGCAAUGAUGAAAAAGUUUUGGAGUUUCCUAUGGGGAUGUGAGUAAUUUAAUUUGGAUUCUACACCACGUGUUGAAGAGACAGGUUCUACUCUGCGCAGUGCGCAAGAACAGUUUUUUUUUACCCGCAAAAAGAAAAAGAAAAAGAAAAGUUAAGCUGAAGCCUUUAGCUUUGCAUGUAUCAUUGGUUCGGAGCUGGGAUAAACUUGUCAUACUCUGAAACUCAUGAUUCUGAAUUUGGUUUCUGAAAUGCAAGGGCUUAUGAUCACUUUGCUUUUGAAAAGAAGGUUGUAGAACUACACUUUUGAUUGUUAAGUCUCGAAAAUAUAACUACUGCAAGGCGCAAAAUUUGUAGGAAUUACGCAUCGAUCGCAUUGCGUGUUCAUGUGGAUGGGCAUACGUUGGCGGGAGGGAGAGGUCAUCCAGAACUGUACGAGAAUGAUUGCUUGUGCACUGAUUACUGGAAGACUCCAAACCGAAAAAUAAAAGCAAUCAAGUUAAUGAUGAGGUUUAGGAGGUACGUAAGCAUCAUCAUAUCCUAGCUUCAAUUCUUUGGCAACUAAAUUAAUGCAGAGACAGAGAUAUGCUGGUACCAACAAAGGGGAGCAUUGCAGAUGUGUCCUAAGUGUGGUACUAGCUUUAUAUAGUAUAUGUCCUACAUAAACUAACUACCUAGCUGAUCUAGCUCGGCCAAAAACCAGCAAUCCAGCAUAUUCAUAGCUUCUCAGAUACAGGAAAAAAGGGGUUCAUUUACAUGUGAUGCCUUUUCCUUUAACCCUAUGGAAAUUGAAAUGGUGUUUCUUGGAUUAAUUGUUGCAAAACUCAGGGCCUUAUUCUUUUACAGCAGGGCCUUGCUAGGGUACUCAAGGUUACCUCCUAGGAGGCAAGAGCGCAAGAACGUACCAAGCCUUCAUAUUUGGGCUCGCCUAUUAAUCGUUUUUGAUUUUCUUUUAAUUCGCAAUACAUUGGCAUAUAUUCAUUUGAACCAGGGGUUGAUUGUAUUUACAGAAGUUAGGUGAAACACAUGCAUCUUAAUAAUAACACAAGUCGUCAAUUACUACUUUCAAUGUAAUAAAGGUCAUGUCCUUAUCCUUAAGCAUCAGUUUAGCUAGCUUAAUCCAUCACUUAGUGGAGCUUUACCAACAACAAUAUGGAUUACGUCUGCCAACUUUAGCUAACAGAUCUAGCGUGGCAGAUAUGGUGAGUGGAGCAUUGAAGCAGAGCAGGUCCCAAUAGAAUGAUCGCACUCUAUAUACUUUAGAAUCACAUAUCCUGCUCUACUUGCAGUAGUAUUCCAUUAAGCCACUUUUAAUCAAAACAUAUAUUCCCUCAUUAACCUUUCCAUCAGCACUUUUUGUUUGCGAUUAUUCUUUUCGUUAACUUAAUAUGCUCAUCUAAGAGUAGUGAUGCAUCAGAAGACACCUUUUUAUUUGCAUUGCCUUCAGGAGGAUAUGUACUAUGUGCAUACAAAUGUAAACUAUACACACAGUGCAUUUCUUUGUUGUGUUGCUUGGUGUGAGCUUAUCCACAGGAGAAUGGGGGCCCACUGCCUAGGGUUUGUAUUUUAUCCAGAGACAUGGGUAUAAUGUCUCGAUUUCACAAACAUCCCCAAUGUUUUCUCUCUCCCUCUCAAAGGAAAAAGCAACACCAAUAUAUGUUUUGUAGCGCAUUUUCGAUCGAUCCAUUUGUAUCGCCGAUGAAGCUACAUGUAUAUGUGUCUAGUAUAGCUAGGCUUUGGAGUCCAUGUGAUGAAUGGAUUGAUCUGAUCAUCAUAUCCUUCAGAAGUUUUCAUUUUUUUAAAAAAAUUCAUGUUCCUCUAAAAUUACCUUGUCUUAUAUCCUCUCUGAUCGUUUUCAUGUACUCUGUUGGUUAUAUGAUUGAUGGCAGCAGUGAGCCCUUCUGAAACUUUUUUUUAAAAAAAGAAUACUCAUAUCACAUACGUAAGCUAACUAUAAAGCAAAGAUAUAUGAAUAGCAAUCAAUAAAAUUGACAUGAUGGUGAUGAGAGUGAUGCUUUAUUUAUGUGCAUCAUUUGCAAUCCAAAUGAUCAAAUAAUUUCUUAUAAAAAAUGAUCAAAUAAUUUAAUUGGGUUUACUUGCGUGUUAGGCUUUGUAGUUGUAGGAGAGAACUUUUCUCGAUCAAGUGGCAUCAUCUUACUUUGCCAUGGUGAUUGAUUCCACUCUUAAGGGAUACCAUUGGUAGCCCACAGUUUCUAAGUAAUUGUUGGCUUGUUAGUGCAUGAUGAUGAUGGCCUUGGUUUUGGCUCAAGCACGUGUUCACAUACAAGUGCAUCACCUGGGGGCUGGGGGCUGGGGGCUGGGGGCUGGGGCCUGCUGCUUUAUGUGGUUCGGCUCACAUGCAUGUUGCCACCUCUAAUUGGGUGGUUAUGCGGUACUGUCUCAGCAACGGUAGAAGUAUUAUGAGGCGUUCAUGUCGCGUUCCGUUCGGAUUUGCGUUAAAAUCAUGGUUGACUUGACUUCCAGCAACAAAUAUCGAUCUGAUGUGACACCUCUGAUGCAAAGAGUGAAAUUAAUCUAAUAUAAAACACACAAGUCUAAUUUUGGUUCAAUUCCUUUAAAUGUGGAGCCUAAUAAAUCUUGGUUCCAUUCAUUAAUUAGUCUCUGGUCUAAACAGGUCCAGCAAAAUUGUGGAAGAUUUUUACAUAAUUUCGCACAAAUCUGUCACUUCGAAUUCUUUUCUUGUACAUGUCUCAACCAACUGCCAAGUUCCUUUUUACCAAUACAUAAAUAAAAACCGAAGCAAGUUGGCACGCUUUGCAAUGAAAAAAAAUUAGGGCCUAGGAGGAUUACAUCUAGGUAGAGCUACCAUGGCUUCAAGAUUCGAUGUGGAUGUGUGGAUAGAUGGUAUAUCAAUCAAAAUUUGCGCCUGAGAUGGAAUCCGACCAACAAUCAUGUGGUGGUGGUGUGUGUGUGUAUAUCUUCAGGAGCUAGCAGGGCACAUUUUCAGAUGUGGGUGUCUCAUAAAGUCGAUCAUACCCGGAUGACCAAUGGGGUGCUGCCAAAAAACUAUUUUGGUUUUUUUUUUCUGAGAAUAAAGACUGUUGGUCUUUUAUUGAUGGCUCCAAUGAUGGGCUAGAAGCUGGUCGUAUCUUUUGCCUAAGAAUUCUCUAGAAAUACGUCCACCUGUCACACUAGAUCCUUGAGAUGUUGGUAUGUCCAUACUCUCACGUACAUACCACUGGUCCUUAGGCUACCCCUUUUCAACUGUAUGGGUUUAUGGAUCACCCUGCCAUCCUCUUUUAUUGGAUCAAUGUGGAAAUUUGUAGCCAAAUUUCUCUUAUUUCCACAUGUAAAGGGCAGCUAUCGCCGGUCAAAUAAGCCUACAAUUCUUAUGUAUAAAGACUUACUCUCUCCAUGUUUUAAGGACAUGCUAAGAUUUUAUAAAAUCACUAAAAGUGUAAUUUGACGAAUAUUUUUUCAAUAAUGCACUAUCAAUUUCUAUAAAAUUUAUAUCAUACUAAAAGAUAUAUGAAAUAUGUACCAAUGCAACUUUUAUGUACUAACCAUUGUAUUAUGAGUUGAAACUUUCGAGCAUUUAUAUUUCAGAUCCUAAUUCACCAUUUAACAAAGAAAGGGGAGCAAUUUUCAUUUGUGUUGCGAACAAAGAUGAUUCGCUCAUGAGCUGAGUGUAGCUCAAUUGAUUAGAUUUUUAGAAGUAGAACCUGUCCAACCAGAUUCAAAUUCUAGACUUAUAGCAUUGCAAUGUAUUUUGAAAAUUCUAUUUAAGGAAAUACACGCUAUGCACGUUCUAAAAAAAUAAUGUAUUUUUGGGGAAAAAAAAGAAGAUGGCUGGCCUGAUACAUGGCUUCACCGAGCAAAAACCACUUGAGCUGCAUUACUGCUAGGCUGCAAGUCUGCUAACGGUAUGUGCUCAAGUCAGGCUCUGUUGCAUGCGCUCCUGACGAAAGCAAACUCCACGCAACGCCGUCGGGGAACCGCAACCGCGCGCGCUGUUGCGUGCGUAGACGAGCCACCACCGUUGCUCCCACUAGCCACCGAACGAACCGUGGCAACACCGUCACCUAGGCAACGGCACUGUGUGUAUAACACAGAAUAACGGCAGGUGACGACAGCACUCAUCAAUCAGCCACACAUCACAGUCUCAUGCAUCCUCGUAGUACCACCUUUUUCAUAGGUCAUUUCAUACUUGCAAAUAUGAAAUUAUUUGCAAAUACUUGCAAAUAAUUUCAUGGUGGACGGAUGUUUAGAUGCUGGUUCAUUUUUUUAUAACUCGGUCAUAGUGAGGUAACUUUAACUUAGAAUAUAGAAUAGAACUAAAACAACUUACAUUUCGAAAAGAACGGAGUACUUAGCAGGGUAUUGCAGUCUCUCCACUUUUAACCGUAAUAUUUGUCUCAAAUAAUGCUUAGAUAUGAUAUUAGUAUAUAAUAUGCUAGCUUGAUCUUCAUAGCAUUGGCGGUGAGCCCGAUCCUUCAAAUCUAAGUUAUAUAUAUACUUCAUCAGUUGGAGAUGAUGAGGUCCAGCCUUCUCUUCUACUAAUAACAUAUGUAAAAUAAACAAUCCACAUCUUCUCAGUAGGAAUGCUAAAGUCCUUGUGUUGCCUGGAAACCUAAUUAACUUCACCAAUACUUCUUGGCCACAAACCCCAUACACAUGUCCUAUGCCGCCCUCAAGCACCAAACCCUAACUUCCAAUCGAAAUCUAUAAUUCUAGUGGCUGCAAUUUAUACUCUAUCGAGUCGUAUGUACCAAUCAGUUUAAUCUAAAAGCUCGAGUUAAUAAAGAAAUGUGCAAUUCACUUAUAUACUUCAACAGCAAUACAGCAUGGAUGUUUCGGCUUGAUUUUAAGCGAAUUAAUUUCCUAAACCACACAUCUAUUCUCUCUCUCUCUCUCUCUCUCUCUCUCUCUCUCCAUCCGAUGGCUGACAUUACAAGUUGGAGGUGCGCUCUUUGAUUGCCUCAGUAUGGUCACACACAAGGCACUCCAAGUAUUAGCCUGCUGACAUCUCAGAUACCAUCGACACAUCACCCUGUUGAGAUUACUAGCGUGUCGACUACAACACCGCGGGCUACAAGUUGUGCUGCACUAAUCAGCCGCAAUAACACAACAUGACUUGCCAGUUGAUGCGGAUCAUUAAGAGCACCGGAAUCCUACUACAUGAUUACAUGAACCCAAUGGCAAAACGUGGCACGAAUACAUGGAAUCCUGCAGUGUUUGUGUGCUAUUGCCAGUCACCAUCCCAAUAGCAUUUCCACUUUUUUUUUCAGCGAGCUGAAUCUGCAGUUGCAUCAUCUGAAACUGAAUUUGCUGUACACUUGCUAACCAUGUGACGUGCCAAUGCCGCUACCCAGCAGCCUUUCCCUGUGGGCUGCAGAUUCAGUGCCGCUUGGAUUUGUGCAAUGCAAGAAUCCUCCUCCACUGGCCACUGUGCUCAUGCAAAAGUCAGAGCAGAGGAACCUGACAGAUUCAUCGGCUUCUGUUUGGUGAGCUUCCUAGUGAGUUCUUGACAAUGAUGGCGAGCAUCUGAUGCUUCAGAAGAUGCCAGACUCAACGAAGUCUCAAGUCUGGGGUUAUCUGGCUCCAGGAUAUCGAUUCGGUUUCUUGCCUGAUUGAGAGUUUCAGCUCUCUCUCUUUUUUCCCAGUGAAUCGAAGUAAGAAAAUAUCUACAGAAUAAGCAGAUUUCAGAUGCAUGGAAUGGAAGUUCUUGCGUUGCAGCACGUGUUGCAGAAGGGCUGCUUAUCAAGCACUAUACAAGAAAGUGAGAUCCAUCCAUCAAAUGAUCAAAUGCAUAUGUCGUCAUCCUGAUUCCUUUUGGUAACUGAAGAUGGAUGGCAUCAUGCGACUGGAGCUCACUGGAGGAAAUGGCUGCUGAUCUGCAGCUCUUUCUUGCCACCGAUUGGCGAUUGCGGUCGAGCCGACGAAGAACCUCAGCUGCGGAAACAAUGCAUGAAAGAGACAACAGGCCUGUUCCAUGAUACAUCAGCCCUAACCCUAGCAGCCCUUGUGCACAACUGCUCUCCACUGCCGAGAUAAACAACUUUCCCUAAGCAUGAUGAGCAAGGGAGGAUAGCUUUAUCCAUGCCAUUGCGACGUCCCUUUCUGUGUGCUACUUUCAACUGCUGCUAGUGCUAGUGACACAGGCACUUGCAAUCAGGAAUAAACAAUGCUGAAACCAGAACAAAAUCUUUAUUCGACCGGCAGCUGUAGGAUCAUCUGCCAGAAAGACAAGGGCAUCGCGAUUAAGAAAUUGCGCUUCAGUCUUGUGCAUCAAGGGAAAACAAAAGAUUUGAUGCAAAUCUACUGUCAGUGAUAGGAAGGGGAAUACAUAACACUGGGGAUCAGUGCAGGUCCCAUUCAGAAGAGGAAAGUGUCCUCUAUUCAGAUGAUGGCUGCUUUACUCCAACAUAAUGAUCUGGGAGAGAUCGUUUAGCCUUUAUUAUCCGUGUGGAGCCUCAAUACAAGUCUUUCCAGUUUUCCUUGGCCAAUUGUUUUUUCUGCAGUCGCUUUAUCCAGUGCCCAACAGAGAAUUUAUUGGGAACAAAAGAGGUACAAAUAAUUGCUUGGCCUUUUUAUAAUUGAGAAAUUUCUAAAGAUGAUGUAGUUAUAAUUACUUAAAUAUACUUCUGCGGUCGGGCAGAUUAGUUGAUGCCAACUGGUGUCAUGUUUCACAUAUAGCAUGAUGUGAAGAAUAUGGCGCUAUAAAUUUUUCCCCCAUAGAAUGAAAACAUAAGAAGCUCCUUAUGUUGCUGCAUCUAUAAUGGAAUCAAUGUUUGAACUUUUACAGCAUCAGUUUAGUUGGUUUAACGUCAUCGUAUACAGCAUUUACAAUGUGCCCUCUAUUAUAGCUGGCAGUGCAUGAACAUAUUAUUAGCAGAAAUGAUUAAAAUAAGUUUGUAUCAUAAAGAAGACAUCUUUAAUCCUGAAUGUUAUAGAAACGCGCAUAUAUAUAUUGAUAGCUGUUUCACACUACAAUAUGAGCUUUGGUUCUCCAUCACAUCAUCAUAAAACCGAUGUUGCUCCUGAUACAGAUAGAUGGCUAACUGCUAAAGGAUAAGAACCUCCAUAACAAUUAUAUACAGGAAUUAUGUCUCAUACAACGAAUGAGGAUCCUAAAGUUUUGAGUCAGCUAUCCGAUCUUACUGAUGGGGCUAGGUCAGAUUCAGAAUGCUCUCUAAAAAAGAGCUCUGUCUCCAUCUCCCAAUAGUAAGGUAAAGCGGUCGACAAGACAGGAUACGCUAUAUUUAUUACGCAUUGAUUUACAAGAAAAGGACCGAUGUGAUUUCACAAAACUUUCCUAAGCUACAAAUUACCUUUCUACUUUACAAUAAUUGGUUAGUCAUUGAGAUGGCAAAUACCGCUGCAGGCAUUCUUUUAUAUUCUGAAAGUUCACAGGCUUAGAUAUGUAUGAAUCCAUGCCUGCAGCAAGGCAUUCAUCGGCACUCUCAGAAAACGAAUUUGCUGUCAUCUGCAAAGAAUCAGGAGAUUUUACAGGGUUAUAGACAUAACCUAGGCUUGGAAGAAUACAAUUUAAUAUAACACGAAGAUUCUAUUCUCCGUGUGAUCAAGAAAAUAGCAAAUAUAUGAAGUAGCAUGCAGGCAAAGCGGGGUCUUAGUUGGUAAGAGUUUAGAAUUGUGUAUAGAUAAACUUACCGCAAUUAUAGGGACCCUCUGCCCUUGCCGUUUUGCAGGUGUACAAUCUGAUGAAAUAGCAGGGUCAGCUAUCAUCUGAUCAUCUUCAGGCUUUACAGAAGCGUCCCAAUAGCCGGUGUUCUCAAAAGAACGUAUAUGUUUAGUGGCUUGUAGGCCAUCCAUUUCUGGCAUGUGAACAUCCUAUCAAGGAGAAACCAUUACAUUUUGAUUAGAGUGGAAGCAAAAUAUUGUAACAUAUAACAGACAUUUUCACUUGGGUUCGUGGCAUAUAAAUAUUGAUAUCAAACCACAAGGUGCUGUCAUGAUUUAAAAGUUCUUUUUUUUUUCCUAUGGUAGUACAGGACUACCAAGACUAACACCUGUACUAUUUCACUAGUGAGAUGGGAAAAAAUGAAGAAUAGUAACUCUUAACAGUAUUGGUGAAGUGCUUCGAACCAUUAUCCAAGGUGUACCAAGCCAAUUUCGAUGGUUGGCAUAACCUUUUGCCUAUAAUUCAUCUCAUUGGUGUAUAUCUUAUUAGCACAAAAUCAAGAAGUUCGUUUGAUGUUGAGGUGAGGCAAUUGUGAACUAAAAUGACAACAUCUUAUAAGGAUGAAUUGAAGUAAAUACAAAAAAAAAA